GCAUGUGACGGUGCCUGACCGUAGCGUGCCAUUCUCCUCUUGUCGUUGUUGCUCCGGGGCGUUCUGCCCCGGUCUUUUUGG
This 81-nucleotide non-coding RNA is filed under the name Robbsia andropogonis. Its description in RNAcentral is "Burkholderia andropogonis Burkholderia sRNA 16 (Bc_KC_sr1)". It matches the Rfam family "Burkholderia sRNA 16 (Bc_KC_sr1)". Rfam says of the family: Identified by RNA-seq, RACE and Northern blot. Strongly expressed in biofilm. Also know as Bc_KC_sr1. The record is from Rfam by way of RNAcentral. Lineage: Bacteria; Pseudomonadati; Pseudomonadota; Betaproteobacteria; Burkholderiales; Burkholderiaceae.